RNAcentral lists this ribosomal RNA (253 nucleotides) under uncultured bacterium. Its description in RNAcentral is "partial 16S ribosomal RNA". It matches the Rfam family "Bacterial small subunit ribosomal RNA", at positions 524 to 776 of the family's 1533-position model. The record is from RNAcentral.
UACGGGGGGGGCAGGCGUUGUUCGGAAUUACUGGGCGUAAAGGGCUCGUAGGCGGCCAACUAAGUCAGACGUGAAAUCCCUCGGCUUAACCGGGGAACUGCGUCUGAUACUGGAUGGCUCGAGUUUGGGAGAGGGAUGCGGAAUUCCAGGUGUAGCGGUGAAAUGCGUAGAUAUCUGGAGGAACACCGGUGGCGAAGGCGGCAUCCUGGACCAACACUGACGCUGAUGAGCGAAAGCCAGGGGAGCAAACGGG